CCGUGCUAGACGGGGAGGUAGCGGUGCCCUGUACUCGCAAUCCGCUGUAGCGAGGUUGAACUCCCUUUCGAGGUCUUCGUAUGGUGAUGCAGCCUUAAGUAAGUGGUGUUGACAUUUGGGUCCUGCGCAACGGAAACUUAUGAACCCUGUCAGGUCCGGAAGGAAGCAGCAGUAAGUAAGACCUUUCGUGUGCCGCGGGGCUGCCUGAAUUGAGCUAACUGCUUAAGAAGCGGUCAUUUUACUUAGAUCGACAAAGGGUGCACGG
This 265-nucleotide signal recognition particle RNA is filed under the name Terrilactibacillus tamarindi. RNAcentral describes it as "Bacterial large signal recognition particle RNA". It matches the Rfam family "Bacterial large signal recognition particle RNA". Rfam says of the family: The signal recognition particle (SRP) is a universally conserved ribonucleoprotein involved in the co-translational targeting of proteins to membranes. Archaeal SRP consists of a 7S RNA and homologues of the eukaryotic SRP19 and SRP54 proteins. In most bacteria, the SRP consists of a 4.5S RNA and the Ffh protein (a homologue of the eukaryotic SRP54 protein). Lineage: Bacteria; Bacillati; Bacillota; Bacilli; Caryophanales; Bacillaceae. The record is from Rfam by way of RNAcentral.